RNAcentral lists this ribosomal RNA (189 nucleotides) under Escherichia coli. RNAcentral's name for it is "partial 16S ribosomal RNA". It matches the Rfam family "Bacterial small subunit ribosomal RNA", at positions 1 to 183 of the family's 1533-position model. The record is from RNAcentral. Lineage: Bacteria; Pseudomonadati; Pseudomonadota; Gammaproteobacteria; Enterobacterales; Enterobacteriaceae.
AAAUUGAAGAGUUUGAUCAUGGCUCAGAUUGAACGCUGGCGGCAGGCCUAACACAUGCAAGUCGAACGGUAACAGGAAUCAGCUUGCUGAUUCGCUGACGAGUGGCGGACGGGUGAGUAAUGUCUGGGAAACUGCCUGAUGGAGGGGGAUAACUACUGGAAACGGUAGCUAAUACCGCAUAACGUCGCA